UACAGAGGUCUCAAGCGUUGUUCGGAUUCAUUGGGCGUAAAGGGCGCGUAGGCGGCCACCGCAAGUCGGUGUUGAAAUCUCUGGGCUUAACCCGGAAAGGUCAUCUGAUACUGUGCGGCUAGAGUGCGGAAGGGGCAACUGGAAUUCUUGGUGUAGCGGUGAAAUGCGUAGAUAUCAAGAGGAACACCUGCGGCGAAGGCGGGUUGCUGGGCCGACACUGACGCUGAGGCGCGAAAGCCAGGGGAGCGAACGGG
Molecule: ribosomal RNA, 254 nt
Filed under: uncultured bacterium
Lineage: Bacteria
Description: partial 16S ribosomal RNA
Rfam family: Bacterial small subunit ribosomal RNA
Source: RNAcentral